GUGAAGAACGUAGCGAAAUGCGAUAAGUAAUGUGAAUUGCAGAAUUCAGUGAAUCAUCGAAUCUUUGAACGCACCUUGCGCUCCUUGGUAUUCCGAGGAGCAUGCCUGUUUGAGUGUCAUUAAAUUCUCAACCUCACCCGUUUUCUGAACGGUUCUCCGAGGCUUGGAUGUGGGGGUUUGUGCAGGCUGCCUCAGCGCGGUCUGCUCCCCUGAAAUGCAUUAGCGAGUUCGUACUGAGCUCCGUCUAUUGGUGUGAUAAUUAUCUACGCCGUGGACAGGGUUUAGACUCGCUUCUAACCGUCCGCAAGGACAAUACCUUUGACAAUUUGACCUCAAAUCAGGUAGGACUACCCGCUGAACUUAAGCAUAUCAAUAAGCGGAGGA
RNAcentral lists this unclassified non-coding RNA (384 nucleotides) under soil metagenome. Its description in RNAcentral is "partial contains 5.8S ribosomal RNA, internal transcribed spacer 2, and large subunit ribosomal RNA". The stretch from base 2 to 119 matches the Rfam family "5.8S ribosomal RNA", at positions 37 to 154 of the family's 154-position model. The record is from RNAcentral.